This 1752-nucleotide ribosomal RNA is filed under the name Brassica napus (rape). Its description in RNAcentral is "SSU rRNA". It matches the Rfam family "Eukaryotic small subunit ribosomal RNA". The record is from RNAcentral. Lineage: Eukaryota; Viridiplantae; Streptophyta; Magnoliopsida; Brassicales; Brassicaceae.
CCUGGUUGAUCCUGCCAGUAGUCAUAUGCUUGUCUCAAAGAUUAAGCCAUGCAUGUGUAAGUAUGAACGAAUUCAGACUGUGAAACAGUGAAUGGCUCAUUAAAUCAGUUAUAGUUUGUUUGAUGGUAACUACUACUGGAAUAACCAUAGUAAUUAUAGAGCUGUGUCGUGCAACAAUCCCUGACUUCUGCAAGGGAUGCUUUUAUUAGAUAAAAGGUCGAUGCGGGCUCUGCCUGUUGCUCUGAUGAUUCAUGAUAACUCGACGAAUCGCAUGGCCUUAGUGCUGGCGACGCAUCAUUCAAAUUUAUGCCCUAUCAACUUUCGAUGGUAGGAUAGUGGCCUACCAUACUGGUAACGGGUGACGGAGAAUUAGGGUUCGAUUCCGAAGAGGGAGCCUGAGAAACGGCUACCACAUCCAAGGAAUGCAGCAGGCGCGCAAAUUACCCAAUCCUGACACUGGGAGGUAGUGACAAUUAUUUCACAAUACCGGGAUCUUUGAGUCUGGUAAUUGGAAUGAGUACAAUCUAAAUCCCUUAACGAGGAUCCAUUGGAGGGCAAGUCUGGUGCCUGCACCCGUGGUAAUUCCAGCUCCAAUAGCGUAUAUUUAAGUUGUGGCAGUUAAAAAGCUCGUAGUUGAACCUUGGGAUGGGUCGCCCGGUCCGCCUUUGAUGAGCACCGGUCGCCUUGUCUCUUCUGUCGGCGAUAUGCUCCUGGCCUUAACUGGCCGGGUCGUGCCUCCGGUGCUUUUACUUUGAAGAAAUUAGAGUGCCCAAAGCAAGCCUACGCGCUGUAUACAUUAGCAUGGGAUAACAUCAUAGCAUUUUGAUCCUAUUGUGUUGGCCUUCGGGAUCGGAGUAAUGAUUAACAUGGACAGUCGGGGGCAUUCGUAUUUCGUAGUCAGAGGUGAAAUUCUUGGAUUCAUUAAUCAAGAACGAAAGUUGGGGGCUCGAAGACGAUCAGAUACCGUUCUAGUCUCCACCAUAAACGAUGCCGACCAGGGAUCAGCGGGUGUUGCUUUUAGGACUCCGCUGGCACCUUAUGAUAAAUCAAAUUUUUUGGGUUCCGGGGGGUGUAUGGUUUGAAGGCUGAAACUUAAAGGAAUUGACGGAAGGGCACCACCAGGAGUGGAGCCUGCGGCUUAAUUUGACUCAACACGGGGAAACUUACCAGGUCCAGACAUAGUAAGGAUUGACAAACUAAGAGCUGUUUCAUGAUUCUAUGAGUGGUGGUGCAUGGCCGUUCUUAGUUGGUGGAGCGAUUUCCCUGGUUAAUUCCAUUAACAACGAGACCUCAGCCUGCUAACUAGCUACGUGGAGGCAUCCCUUCACGACCGGCUUCUUAGAGGGACUAUGACCGUUUAUGCCAAGGAAGUUUGAGGCAAUAACAGUUCUGUGAUGCCCUUAGAUGUUCUGGGCCGCACGCGCGCUACACUGAUAUAUUCAACGAGUUCACACCUUGGCGACAGGCUCGGGUAAUCUUUGAAAUUUCAUCGUGAUGGGGAUAGAUAAUUGCAAUUGUUGGUCUUCAACGAGGAAUUCCUAGUAAGCGCGAGUCAUCAGCUCGCAUUGACUACGUCCCUGCCCUUUGUACACACCGCCCGUCACUCCUACCGAUUGAAUGAUCCGGUGAAGUGUUCGGAUCGCAGCGACGUGGGUGGUUUGCUGUCUGUGACGUCACGAGAAGUCCACUAAACCUUAUCAUUUAUAGGAAGGAGAAUUCGUAACAAGGUUUCCGUAGGUGAACCUGCAGAAG